AGUAAUUCAAUAACGUUGUGUCUGGGAAGAGGGAGGGGGAAUCUACGAUUUAACUAUCACAAAGGCAAAUGAAAAUUUUGCUAACAAGUUAUGUCCACGAUUUAGUGCAACAGCACAAGUACCUUUUUCGAACACAUGGUACUAACUUCAAACCAAAAGGCCAUCGUUCAAAAUUUCAUGUUUCUUUUUCCAAUUUUCAGAGGGCGAAUUACCCGGACAAGCUAUAGCUGUUUGUAUUCACCGCUAUAAUAAUGACCUCAAACAUUUAAAGGUAAAAUGUCUUGACAAUCUGAAAAGUCCAAAUUAUACAACUAAGCCCGUAGAUUUAUCGUAAAUGUACAGAUUUAUCAUAAAUGUCGCGAUUUUAUCCACCUAAUCUAUUCAUAUGUCUUUCUUGCAGAACUACCAACACAAAGGGAUUAAAGAGGUAAUUCAAUGGCUUCCAAAAAUAACAUAGCAUUUCAAAUCGCGAAUGGCCAGUAAUAUUAAAAUGCAGUUACAUUUUGGGUCAUGCCUAUGGUAGAUUAGAGGAAAUUAGAAAGGCCAUCAACAAUUACAAAAUUUUUA
Non-coding RNA from Paramuricea clavata, 567 nucleotides. The record is from the annotation of a GenBank genome assembly. Lineage: Eukaryota; Metazoa; Cnidaria; Anthozoa; Malacalcyonacea; Plexauridae.